RNAcentral lists this ribosomal RNA (1026 nucleotides) under Triticum aestivum (bread wheat). Its description in RNAcentral is "partial small subunit ribosomal RNA". The record is from RNAcentral. Lineage: Eukaryota; Viridiplantae; Streptophyta; Magnoliopsida; Poales; Poaceae.
AUGCUUUCACAACUUGACUUCAAAAUAUUUGGUUUGGAGACCAUCAAAGAUCAAUAUGUGCAUGAUGCUGAUUUUAAAGAUGUAAUGCAGAAUUGUAAAGAAGGAAGAAUGUGGAACAAGUUUGUCGUUAACGAUGGAUUUGUGUUUCGUGCUAACAAGCUAUGCAUUCCAGCUAGCUCCGUUCGUCUUUUGUUGUUGCAGGAGGCGCAUGGAGGAGGAUUAAUGGGACACUUUGGCGUGAAGAAGACGGAGGACGUACUUGCUACACAUUUCUUUUGGCCAAAGAUGAGACGGGAUGUUGAGCGGGCUGUUUUGAAGAAUAAUAAGAAAAUGUGGGAGGAAUGCUUGCCUCAUAUUGAAUUUGCUUAUAAUCGUUCAUUGCAUUCUACUACUAAGAUGUGCCCUUUUGAAGUUGUGUAUGGUUUCCUACCUCAUGCACCUAUUGAUUUGUUGCCUCUUCCAUCUUCGGAGAAGGUUAAUUUUGAUGCUAAACAACGUGCUGAAUUGAUUUUAAAAAUGCAUGAGUUAACUAAGGAAAACAUUGAGCGCAUGAAUGCUAAAUAUAAACUUGCGGGAGAUAAGGGUAGAAAACAUGUUGUGUUUGCACCUGGAGAUCUUGUUUGGUUACAUUUGCGUAAGGAUAGAUUUCCUGAUUUGCGCAAAUCAAAGUUAGUGUCACGUGCUGAUGGUCCCUUUAAGGUGUUAGAGAAAAUAAAUGAUAAUGCAUAUAAACUUGAGCUGCCUGCAGAUUUUGGGGUUAGUCCCACUUUUAACAUUGCAGAUUUGAAGCCUUAUUUGGGUGAGGAAGAUGAACUUCCGUCGAGGACGACUUCAUUUCAAGAAGGGGAGGAUGAUGAGGACAUCAAUACAAUUGUUACACCCACAGCCCCUGCUGCUAUACAUACUGGACCAAUUACUAGAGCUCGUGCACGCCAACUAAAUUACCAGGAAAAAGACCCUCGUGGUCAGGUUGAUCGUGCUCCGGCGUGGUCAAUAACCUCUCGGAGUUGGUUUAGCGAUUGCUAA